CAGGCCGUGAAAUAUUAUUACUUAGUUGUUAAUUUUCUCGAAAUCUAAAGGCACAACCUUGAUUCGAGACAGUGUUUUAAGCAGUUGAACAUGUUAUUACUCCAACCUUGUGAAAGUAACAAACUAACACGUUUCCAUUUCCGAAAAGAAAUCAUUUAUAUCGGAGUGCCUUUGACGACCUGAGCAGUUUGGCGCGAGAGAACCGUGAGACCCGUCGUCUCACGCGGACGUGUUUCUGCAUAUGUGUUUACUUGGCUAACGUCGCCAUGACAUCCCUUACAAGUGUGCGGAACUCAUGCAUUGAGGAAAUUGGUCCAUCAACGGGCAGUAAAUACAGUGACACCGUGUCACAACGUGCUCAUGAAAAUCAGACACCGUCUAUUUUGCCAGCUGGG
RNAcentral lists this long non-coding RNA (395 nucleotides) under Oncorhynchus mykiss (rainbow trout). Its description in RNAcentral is "lncRNA (ENSOMYG00000069942.1)". The record is from RNAcentral. Lineage: Eukaryota; Metazoa; Chordata; Actinopteri; Salmoniformes; Salmonidae.